ACGGAAGGCAGCAGUGGGGAAUAUUGCACAAUGGGCGAAGCCUGAUGCAGCGACGCCGCGUGAAGGAUGAAGUAUUUCGGUAUGUAAACUUCUAUCAGCAGGGAAGAAAAUGACGGUACCUGACUAAGAAGCCCCGGCUAACUACGUGCCAGCAGCCGCGGUAAUACGUAGGGGGCAAGCGUUAUCCGGAUUUACUGGGUGUAAAGGGAGCGUAGACGGUAUGGCAAGUCUGAAGUGAAAGCCCGGGGCUCAACCCCGGGACUGCUUUGGAAACUGUUAAACUAGAGUGUCGGAGAGGCAAGUGGAAUUCCUAGUGUAGCGGUGAAAUGCGUAGAUAUUAGGAGGAACACCAGUGGCGAAGGCGGCUUGCUGGACGAUGACUGACGUUGAGGCUCGAAAGCGUGGGGAGCAAACAGGAUUAGAUACCCUGGUA
This 433-nucleotide ribosomal RNA is filed under the name uncultured Clostridium sp. Its description in RNAcentral is "partial 16S ribosomal RNA". It matches the Rfam family "Bacterial small subunit ribosomal RNA", at positions 341 to 792 of the family's 1533-position model. Lineage: Bacteria; Bacillati; Bacillota; Clostridia; Eubacteriales; Clostridiaceae. The record is from RNAcentral.